This 400-nucleotide ribosomal RNA is filed under the name uncultured bacterium. RNAcentral describes it as "bacterial SSU rRNA". It matches the Rfam family "Bacterial small subunit ribosomal RNA", at positions 355 to 747 of the family's 1533-position model. The record is from RNAcentral.
UGGGGAAUUUUGCGCAAUGGGGGCAACCCUGACGCAGCAACGCCGCGUGAGUGAUGAAGGCCUUUGGGUCGUAAAGCUCUGUCAGAGGGAAAGAAAUGUGGGCGACUAAUAAUUGUUCCACUUGACGGUACCCUCAAAGGAAGCACCGGCUAACUCCGUGCCAGCAGCCGCGGUAAUACGGAGGGUGCGAGCGUUGUUCGGAAUUAUUGGGCGUAAAGCGCGUGUAGGCGGCUUAUUAAGUCUGAUGUGAAAGCCCUGGGCUCAACCUGGGAAGUGCAUUGGAUACUGGUAGACUUGAGUACGGGAGAGGGCAGUGGAAUUCCCAGUGUAGGAGUGAAAUCCGUAGAUAUUGGGAGGAACACCGGUGGCGAAGGCGGCUGCCUGGACCGAUACUGACGCU